UGGGGAAUAUUGCGCAAUGGGGGAAACCCUGACGCAGCGACGCCGUGUGAGGGAAGAAGGCUUUCGGGUCGUAAACCUCUGUCAGGAAGGAAGAACCUCCCAAGGCUGAACAAGCCUUGGGACUGACGGUACUUCCAGAGGAAGCACCGGCUAACUCCGUGCCAGCAGCCGCGGUAAUACGGAGGGUGCAAGCGUUAAUCGGAAUCACUGGGCGUAAAGCGCGCGUAGGCCGUCUUUUAAGUCGGACGUGAAAGCCCUCGGCUCAACCGGGGAACUGCGUUCGAUACUGGGAGACUUGCGUCCUGGAGAGGGUGGCGGAAUUCCGGGUGUAGGAGUGAAAUCCUUAGAUAUCCGGAGGCACACCGGUGUCGAAGGCUGCCACCUGGACCGGUACUUACGCUGACUCGCGAAAGCGUGGGGAGCAAACA
RNAcentral lists this ribosomal RNA (428 nucleotides) under uncultured bacterium. RNAcentral's name for it is "bacterial SSU rRNA". It matches the Rfam family "Bacterial small subunit ribosomal RNA", at positions 355 to 774 of the family's 1533-position model. The record is from RNAcentral.